Molecule: long non-coding RNA, 448 nt
Organism: Oncorhynchus tshawytscha (Chinook salmon)
Lineage: Eukaryota; Metazoa; Chordata; Actinopteri; Salmoniformes; Salmonidae
Source: Ensembl
GUAGAUGGUAGUAGAGGUAGAUGGUAGUAGAGGGUAGAUGGUAGUAGAGGUAGAUGGUAGUAGAGGGUAGAUGGUAGUAGAGGGAGAUGGUAGUAGAGGGUAGAUGGUAGUAGAGGGUAGAUGGUAGUAGAGGGUAGAUGGUAGUAGAGGUAGAUGGUAGUAGAGUAGAGGUAGAUGGUAGUAGAGUAGAGGUAGAUGGUAGUAGAGUAGAGGUAGAUGGUAGUAGAGGUAGAUGGUAGUAGAGGGUAGAUGGUAGUAGAGGGUAGAUGGUAGUAGAGGUAGAUGGUAGUAGAGGUAGAUGGUAGUAGAGGGUAGAUGGUAGUAGAGGGUAGAUGGUAGUAGAGGUAGAUGGUAGUAGAGGGUAGAUGGUAGUAGAGGUAGAUGGUAGUAGAGGGUAGAUGGUAGUAGAGGUAGAUGGUAGUAGAUGGUAGUAGAUGGUAGAUAGUAG